UAGAGGUGUUAAAAGAUAUUGUGCUCCAUAUGACUAAUGGAAGAUGCUGAGGUUAUUAAUACUGUGAGAAAUAUUUUGUUAUAUAAUGAGCAUUUAUGAAAACUUUUCGUGUACUUUGUCAUAUCUGGGCUGAUCCUUCUGUAAAUUUUUUUUUGUAUGUUUGUUAGUUACAGGAAGUGACACAAUACAGUAAGCAUGCAGGGAGUUAGUUCUGUAACUAACUAGUAGCCACUGCAACUGAAGAGAAGAGAGCAGCAUUGCCAAGGAUUGUGGUAGAAAGUCAGUGCGGCAUCUGUUCUUGGACGGCCUUUUGAUGAGCGUUCCUGAAAAUCUGACUUCCCCCUACUUUCUUCUAAAUUCCUGGUUAUGCAAUCCCUUUUACGUUGAACCAAACAGCAGUUACAACUGAAAAAGGACGCAUACAAAUUGUGGCCACUCACUUCAGGGCUGACACUUGAAAGUAUAUCAAAGUAUCCUGCAAACAGCCUAUCAUGUGUGUAUAGAACUGUACAUUUCUUGACAAAAGCACAGCCUGAAGAACUCAGGACAAAACUCUUUGUGAGAAAGAAGAUCUUGCACAAACAGAACAAGAUGACUUUGGAGGAAAAGGAAACUAUGUACUGUCACUAAGUCAACACAAACUUAUCCAAGUGUGUCAUAGACUGAAGACAUAAUUCUGCACUGCCAACAACAAAAAGCUGUGCCUACAGCAGGUCUAUGGGUAAAGCCCUUCAUAUCCUCUUUACACCUGUGCCUUACAGAUCACUGCUUAUGUUACUAGUAUUUUUGUGUUUUUGCUAUGAAACUCUAGCAGGCAGAACUGAGAUUAGAUGUCUCCCUUUUCUUUUGUGUGAGAAUUGGCCUUACAGCAGCCAUGAAGAAGGUGCAGGAUAUGACCUGUCAGAACACAGCAGCAUGGUGCCACUCCACUGCUCAGUGGCAUAUUCAGCAUGGAUUACCAUAUGGCUAUACAACACAAUGGAAAUGAAAUAAAAUGAAUUACUACAUACAGGAAAAUCUAAGUCUUUUGUCUGAUCCACUAUGAUAAAAGGCAUAUCACCACAUCAAAGCAGUUGGAGAAAAGCUUGUCAUCCAAAGUUGUGACCAAGUGCUGUCUCUCAGGUUACCUCUUUCCAACCUUCCACAAUGCAAACCAUCUCUCUUUUUAGAGCAGUGAGAGCAACUUCACACAGCGAAAGGCAGCAUUAGGAUCACAUUUACUAAAAUUCCUUUUUUUUAAAAUCUUUCUUUAACCAAUUUCAGCUACGGAUCUAAAGAUGAGAUUCCCUACUGAGCUGGCCCUCUGAAUAACAGAUGAUUCAAGGAACUAAUCAUAGCUUGCACAUUAUUGCCAUCAGCAACAUAUGCACCACCAUAAGUACUAGCAAGACAGAAAAGCUUAAUAAAGCACAAUUGCAGCAUUACACUGAUAACAGGCUUGGAGCAAUUCCAUCGAUUUCAAAGGUCAGACUGAUAUUUCACAUAAACUGAUGUUUACAAUUUACGCCAUGAAUUCAGCACAAGAAAUGCAUAUGAAAGGAAGAAAAAAUAAUUACAGAUGUGAUUUUUUAAAAAAGUAAAACAAAACAAAUAAAUAAAAGAAAACAAACAGGAAAGGAGCCUAGGAAGGCACUGGAAAAGAAAAAUAAUAUUUAAAAAGAGAUGGGCAGGGAUAAAUGCAGGAAGGGCUGCUAAGGAGAGAGAAGAAGGCAAGACAAAAUCCAAAAGGUUUUUGCUUGUUGUAAAAACAAACACAGCAAGUUUGAUUUGGAUGGGGUACGCAAAAAAGCUCAUUCGGCACUGAUGCAAGAAAACUUCUUUGCAUGUGUAAGAUAAUGGUAAGAACAGAGCUGGAGCCCAUGAAAGAGUUACUGCAGCCAUGGGGCAGAGCGAUAGCAGGAUCCCAGGUUGGUGCAGUCACAGAGCUGUAGAGCUUAACACUGACCUGCUCCUAGCCACAGCUAAGCACAAAAGCCAGGUGAAGAGUUGCUGAAGGAGUACAACUAACAGGAAUGUAAUUAUUAUUGGGUCAGAAGCAUCACUUCCAUCUUCAGCUGAAUGCCAAGUGAAAGAGAAAGGUGGGUUCAGUAGAAGUGGCAAGAAAAGGCAGGAACUGCUGAUUUGCAGCACAGUGGUGGCUGAAGAGUAAGAUGGGGCAGAACAGGGAGAUGACACCAUGAACUUUGAGGCUAGCAACCAAGCAACAGCCACCCUAGGAGAAAGAACUAUUCUAAUAAACUGUUGACAGAAACAAAGUGAGGGACUACUGUAUCUAGCUAAAAAGAUGAAGAAGACAAAUCAACUCCUGGUCAUCACAACCAAUAUUCAAAGUAAACAAAACAGUGAGUUUGACUUAAUUCAUUACCCAUAAUAAUUUCUGAUCUUAAAACAUAUAGUCCUAUUUGCAUAACACAGACAAUGCACUCACAAAUUCUCACACUUCUAAAAACUGUUGACGAUGUAAGAAGACAUUCACUUUUUACUGUAAUGCGCACACACUAUGAAGAGUCUAUGACUGGAAUGGGUAUAGUAUUUCCAUUAAAAAACAGGCUGACAUAUAACUGCCACAGAUUUUUUUUCAGUGUGGUUUGGUGCUGAAUCUUUUUUAUCUGUAUGAGUUAGGCACUCAAUCUAUUGGAGUCUGAUUUAGUUUAUAAAUAUAGCCUAUCUUUUAAAAGAUAUGAUUUCCUUUGUGUCAUUCCAAACUGCUAAGUGAGAAGAAAAGAUCUCAAAAUCCAGUAUGGGUUUUCAGGGUGAUCAAAGAAGAUUAAAUACUUUACCAAAUGAGGUACACAGUACUGUUGGAUGCAAAUCUCUCUGCAGAUCACUCUCCAGACUCAGAGCUCCAUUUUUGCAAUGUGAAGUCAUGCACUGGCAAUUGACAGGCUUGGUGCCAUUGGCUCCAAAAAAUGAUUUUUUUGGAAUAAAGAGAAACUUGAAAAGGUUUAUUAGUGCCUGAGACACAUUCUGGCUACAUCACUACUAUAGUUCCCAAGUAUGUAGUCCCUUAUAGCAGUAACAUUUAUGGAAAUGCUUUCAUUCACCAAUUAUUUACUAUUUGGUUAUAAAUGUACUCCAAAACCUUAACUGAUUCAGUGUAAACUUCUCAGUUUAUUUUAAAAAUCACAUGCUAGAGCAAGAAACAUUUUUAUAUGAGUUGGCUUAACAAAGAACUGAGAUUUUUCCUGCCACUUCACCAAAAACAGAGUCCAGACAAGACUGAGUUACUGUUCAGCCAAAGCUAAGGGCAAGUUUCUACUGGCUUCACUAGAACUGAUGUAUGCCAAAAGCUAUUUUCAACAAGGGCCAACCUUUGUGCUGGGAACUGCACAGGCAUAUGCAUAUAAUAAAAAAUGAGUGCUGGAGGUUAACCUGCUCUUUUCUUGCCUCCCCCACAUCAUUCAACUGUGCUCCAGCUACUAAGCACAGGUAGGACAAGCCUAAACUUCAGCAACAAAAGGGAUCAAGACUAGACAAGGAUUUUAUACGUUAUAAUCACAUCCUGCCUCCAUAUUAUGAAAGUAACUUUAUCAUGAUCAGAGCAUUUAUCUGAGAGUAGGAAUAAUAAUAAUAAUAAUGUGUUCUAGGGUUGGAGUGAAUGCUAAACACUUGGUUUUCCAACAGCCAGUAUGUUGUUCAUGUGCAUCCAGGAAUUUAGACGUUUAUUGACAUUGCUGUAGUUGCACAUUUAUGCUGUUUUUGGAAUGCACACUUUGCUUUCUUGAAACAGAAAGCCAAAAAAUAACUAACGGUUUAUACUUCCUGAUCAUGGUCUUCAGACUGCUGAGCACUACUUAAGGUAAGAUACAAUGUCAUUUUGUCUAUACAUUUUUUACCCUAAAAAUCUGCAUCCAAUCUUGUUCUACGUAAGCAGUCAGCCUGGCUGCCCAUCUCUUCUGAUGAUGUGCCUUCAGCAACUAGAACAGAGCCUUGCUUCUGAGGGAUGCUGCAGUUCACACAGCACACUGCAACCACCUCCACCUUUCUGUCCUUCCUUGGGAGCCGCACAGGGCAACUCCUACACCCAGGCAGCCAGGAGCUGCCCUAGCUAAUGUGCAGCUUCUCCAUGCACUUUGGCUGAACGCACAGAUACAAUGAAAAGCAUUGUAAAAAUGUUAGAGUGGGAAUUUUUUUCCAUGAUUAUUGUGUCUGACACUUUCUUACUCAGAUUACAAGGAAAAAAUGAGAGGCUGUGCUUUAACCACCAAUCCUAAAACCUAAUCCUGGCAUUAGGGCUUCAUCUCCCCUUUUUCCAAGCAAGCAAUAAGCAGUCUCUUUGCCCCUGAUGUACAAUGUCAUGCUUCAAAAGCAUGCUUUGUCACCACGUUUUCCCAAGAGGGUAACAAGGUAUUCCUCUGAAUAGGAGGUGGUCCUCCCCUUUGUCCAAAAAUAUUUCAGUUUGAAAAUUGUAAUCUAUUGUGAUUGAGAAUAAAUUCCUAAGAUUACUUGAACGAACUUACCAGACAAUUUUUCUGCUUUCUACUCUCCUGUUUUGUUUAAACAAGAACGAAGCUGUAUGGAUUUGAAAACAUUUCUCCAGCAAGAAAAGCAGCAAAAGGAGCCCAGAUACAAAACCUGGGUGUAUAAGAUGGGUAUUUUCUAAGAAAAAUGCGGUGAGCAAAAGAAAGGUACAAAACAUGACCAUCAUUGUUCACAGAACUCUAGAAUCACAAAAUCGUUAGGUUGUAAAAGACCUCCAUGAUCACCUAGUAUAACCAUCCACCUACCACACUAAACCAUGUUUCUUAGAACAACAUCUCAUGUUUCUUGAACACCUCCAGGGACGGUGAUUCCACCACCUUCCUGGGCAGCCUAUUGCAGUACACCACCACUCUUCUGGAGGAGAAAAUUUUCCCUCAUAUCCAAUAUGAACCUUCCCUAGUGCAACUUGAAGUCAUUCCUUCUUGGCCUUUUGCUAGUAACCUGAAGAGAAGAAGCCAACCCCUACUGAUUAAAUCCUGAGCCCUGGAAAUAUACUUUUGUAAACAUGGCAAGCCUUUCUAUUAAACAAUCAAUCAAACAACAACAACAAAAACUCUGCCACCUUUGACAUUCUUUUUCAACUAGUCAUUAAAAAAAUAAUAAUGGCCAAGAGGUACAGUGUUCCUUGAAAGAAAAGCAGAAUACCUUGAAAGAUAAAACCAUGAUACAGUUAUAAAGAUAAGAGAUAAAAAUGACACAUAAAUAAGAAGUAUACAAACACAUCUAGGCAUUGCUAGUGAGCGAGUCCUGGUGGCCACUGUGGGUUCCCACUCCUUAUUCUUCCACAUUACCACAAGAACACAUUAUUCUACGAGCACAAAGGGUUUUACUGGAAGCCACAACAGUAAUGGGCCAUCAGAAUGUCAAGUAAUACAGCAGUCUGCCUUAGUACACUACAGUUCAUGCCUAUGCAAACUGUGCAGAGACAGACCCAAGACCUUCUAUUUAUGCACUGUGCAAUCUGUGAACGAUGCCACUUGGGAGAACUGAUGUUGGGUAUCAGCUGAAUAAGGCAAAGAGAGAUGAGGAAAAAGGAGAGGCCCUUUUCUACAGCGUUACUACGCAGUGUUAGGAAAGCUCUGACAGAAAAGGACAUGGUUGCAAAGGCUAGGAUGUGUAACAUUGAAGCCGGAUGUUCUGGUGUUGAACACUCUGCCAUGGCACAUGGGAUGGAGUUUUCCAGCAUGUGCGUAUGGGGUGUGCACGUUUCCAGAAUUAGGGAAUGAGGCAAGGCUUCAAGGAGAUACUCCUUACACCUCCCUGUGCCUACAAGCAUCUUCCUUAGCCUCAUCUCUCAGGGAGAUUCAGUGAUGUGAAUAUUGCACAACAUUCAAAAGGAAACUUUGAGAACAGAAACCUCAUACAGAUUCAUACAGACUCCAGUUUUUGAGAGUAAUGCAUAGAUCUCAUAGAGAAUUUCUUCUUUUUAUCAGAAAGCUGCACAUAGUGUUUCAGAAAAGGUGCUACAAAAAUAGUUGCUGGUGUAGCAGUUGGGGCUCACAAACACAUCAAAUUGCAGCCUCAAAUAUGACCUUGAAUGUGGGAGACUGCUACUGAGUACUCCGGAUUGACUUUGUUCCCAAGCCACAAUACAGAAUGAAAACAAGGACUGUAACCUUGAAAUUUUUCAUAACACACAAUUUUUUUUUGUUGUCCAAUUCUACUUGCAGCCUCUCCUUUCCAUGAAACUUCCUGCUUUUAUAGGAGAUGGUUAAAUUUGUUUGAUGCAACCCAUGACUGCAAACAAUGAGUCAAAGACUAUUUAGUUUCCGAAGCCAAUCUUUUCUGUCUCUGGCAAGUAAAAACACACAGGG
Molecule: long non-coding RNA, 6296 nt
Organism: Lagopus muta (rock ptarmigan)
Lineage: Eukaryota; Metazoa; Chordata; Aves; Galliformes; Phasianidae
Exons: 4
Source: RefSeq, a predicted model, not a curated record